Molecule: non-coding RNA, 45 nt
Organism: Schistosoma mansoni
Lineage: Eukaryota; Metazoa; Platyhelminthes; Trematoda; Strigeidida; Schistosomatidae
Source: Rfam
AUGAAGCUGAUGGGUCCCAAAUAGGACGAAAUGUACGUCCUAGAU